RNAcentral lists this unclassified non-coding RNA (315 nucleotides) under Hevea brasiliensis (rubber tree). The record is from RNAcentral. Lineage: Eukaryota; Viridiplantae; Streptophyta; Magnoliopsida; Malpighiales; Euphorbiaceae.
CCGUCAUUGGCCCCGGCAAUGUGGGGAUGGCAAUAGCCCAAACCAUCCUCACCCAAGACUUAGCCGACGAGCUGGCUCUCGUCGACGCCAAGGCCGACAAGCUCCGCGGUGAGAUGCUCGACCUCCAGCACGCGGCUGCCUUCCUCCCCCGCACGAAAAUCCAGGCUUCCACUGAUUAUUCCGUCACUGUCGGAUCCGAUCUCUGUAUCGUCACUGCUGGGGCGCGCCAGAUCCCGGGAGAGUCUAGGCUGAACCUGCUGCAGAGGAACGUGAACCUGUUUGAAAAGAUCAUCCCUCCGCUUGCCAAGUACUCGC